This 74-nucleotide transfer RNA is filed under the name Candidatus Nutricula glyptotermitis. Its description in RNAcentral is "tRNA-Ile". It matches the Rfam family "tRNA". From Rfam's summary of the family: Transfer RNA (tRNA) molecules are approximately 80 nucleotides in length. Their secondary structure includes four short double-helical elements and three loops (D, anti-codon, and T loops). The record is from RNAcentral. Lineage: Bacteria; Bacillati; Actinomycetota; Actinomycetes; Bifidobacteriales; Bifidobacteriaceae.
GGGGCUAUAGCUCAGUCGGUUAGAGCACUCGACUCAUAAUCGAGCGGUCCUGGGUUCAAGUCCCAGUGGCCCCA